UGUGGCUAACAGAGAGUCUCAUCUCUUCCAGAUCUAGAUUUGAAGAAAGAGAUUGCGAAACAGAUAUGUAAUUUGAUCACAAUAUAAAUUUCAGCAUAUAUCAAUUUCAGCAUAUGAAAUAGAUCCAUAUGGUUUUAUAUUUUUAUGCAUGCAAAAUUUAAAUUAAAAGUAUUUUAAUCUUAUUCUCUACUACGAUAUUUAGAAAAUAAAAUUUUUAAAAUAUAUAUACAUGCAUCAAACCCCAAAAUCCAACAUCGACACCCUCUUAUGCAUCGACUUCUCGACAACUCUUCAGAAAGCUGCUCGGGCC
RNAcentral lists this long non-coding RNA (310 nucleotides) under Elaeis guineensis (African oil palm). RNAcentral describes it as "long non-coding RNA (EGUI_LNC023905)". The record is from RNAcentral. Lineage: Eukaryota; Viridiplantae; Streptophyta; Magnoliopsida; Arecales; Arecaceae.